Molecule: long non-coding RNA, 324 nt
Organism: Drosophila albomicans
Lineage: Eukaryota; Metazoa; Arthropoda; Insecta; Diptera; Drosophilidae
Exons: 2
Source: RefSeq, a predicted model, not a curated record
GUUAAACACGGCAGCAGCAACAGCAAAAGCAACACACAUAAAUUAAGCAUGUUCUGGGAUCUAUUGGGUGGCAUUUUCGACUUUAUAAUGGGACUGAUAUUUCCAAGUUCCGGUGACGAUGAGCCGGACUCCUCGGAGGUGGAAACAAAUCCUUGAGAUGAGCGCAUCUUUGAAUUGUGUUGUGUGCAUUUCGCAUAAUAUAUAUUUCGUUUUAAUUCAAAAAACAGCAGUGCUUAAUUAUAGUCUAUUAAUUCGGAGUAUAUACCAUGCAUAUAUAUAAUUAUAUAUAUAAGUGGCUUUAUUACAUCUCCAAAUAACUAAAAA